UCCAGACUCCUACGGGAGGCAGCAGUGAGGAAUAUUGGUCAAUGGGCGGAAGCCUGAACCAGCCAAGUCGCGUGAGGGAAGAAGGCCCUGCGGGUCGCAGACCUCUUUGGACGGGGAGCAAGGCCGCCGACGUGUCGGCGGAAGGAGAGUACCCGUAGAACAAGCAUCGGCUAACUCCGUGCCAGCAGCCGCGGUAAUACGGAGGAUGCGAGCGUUAUCCGGAUUUAUUGGGUUUAAAGGGUGCGCAGGCGGCGAGUUAAGUCAGCGGUAAAAUGUCGGGGCUCAACCUCGCUCCGCCGUUGAAACUGGCGUUCUUGAGUGGGCGAGAAGUGCGCGGAAUGCGUGGUGUAGCGGUGAAAUGCAUAGAUAUCACGCAGAACUCCGAUUGCGAAGGCAGCGCACCGGCGCCCUACUGACGCUCAGGCACGAAAGCGUGGGUAUCGAACAGGAUUAGAUACCCUAGUAC
Molecule: ribosomal RNA, 466 nt
Filed under: uncultured bacterium
Lineage: Bacteria
Description: bacterial SSU rRNA
Rfam family: Bacterial small subunit ribosomal RNA
Source: RNAcentral